This 507-nucleotide long non-coding RNA is filed under the name Zea mays. Its description in RNAcentral is "long non-coding RNA (ZMAY_LNC002053)". Lineage: Eukaryota; Viridiplantae; Streptophyta; Magnoliopsida; Poales; Poaceae. The record is from RNAcentral.
GCAUUUCGCACUAAGGUGUUCCAUCCAAACAUCAACAGCAACGGGAGCAUUUGCCUCGACAUCUUGAAGGACCAGUGGAGUCCGGCACUAACCAUCUCCAAGGUUGGUGACUAUACUCUCACGCAUAGCAUCAUUUUUUUCCAUGGUUUCUAGGCUUGGAGCUGCCUACCAGCAUCUUCAACCUGCUGGGUUUCAGGUGCUGCUGUCCAUCUGUUCCCUGCUGACUGAUCCGAACCCCGACGACCCUUUGGUCCCCGAGAUAGCUCACAUGUACAAGACGGACCGGCACAAGUACGAGAACACCGCGAGGACCUGGACCCAGAGGUAUGCCAUGUAGUAUUUUCUCUACCUGGCCUUUGGGGUCGCUGCUGCGUUGUGUUGCCGGGACCUGGACGUGCCUCCAUGUAUUCGUUCUAUCCUUCCUGUAUAAUGAUGAACCGAAUUGGGUUUGCAGUACAGUGCCGCGUGUGGUGCUGAAUGCUGCUGUAUUGUGUCACUUGGAAGCUG